CCUACGGGUGGCAGCAGUGAGGAAUAUUGCACAAUGGUGGGAACACUGAUGCAGCGACGCCGCGUGAGCGAUGAAGGAAUUCGGUAUGUAAAGCUCUAUCAGCCAGGAAGCAAAUGCCGGUACCUGACUAAGAAGCCCCGGCUAACUACGUAACAGAAGCCGCCGUAAUACGUCGGGGGCCAGCGUUAUCCGGAUGUACUGGGUGUAAAGGGAGCGUAGACGGUCCUGCAAGCCAGAUGUGAAAGCCCGGGGCUCAACCCCCGGACUGCAGUUGGAACUGUAAGGCUAGAGUGGCGGAGAGGCAGGCGGAAUGCGUAGUGUAGCGGUGAAAUGCGUAGAUAUGAGGAGGAACACCAGUGGCGAAGGCGGCCUGCUGGAUGAAGACUGACGUUGAGGCUCGAAAGCGUGGGGAGCAAACAGGAUUAGAUACCCCGGUAGUC
This 440-nucleotide ribosomal RNA is filed under the name uncultured bacterium. RNAcentral's name for it is "partial 16S ribosomal RNA". It matches the Rfam family "Bacterial small subunit ribosomal RNA", at positions 338 to 795 of the family's 1533-position model. The record is from RNAcentral.